Molecule: ribosomal RNA, 606 nt
Filed under: uncultured bacterium
Lineage: Bacteria
Description: bacterial SSU rRNA
Rfam family: Bacterial small subunit ribosomal RNA
Source: RNAcentral
GCAUUAGCUAGUCGGCGGGGUAACGGCCCACCGAGGCGACGAUGCGUAGGGGUUCUGAGAGGAAGGUCCCCCACACUGGUACUGAGACACGGACCAGACUCCUACGGGAGGCAGCAGUGAGGAAUAUUGGUCAAUGGGCGGGAGCCUGAACCAGCCAAGUCGCGUGAGGGAAGACGGUCCUACGGAUUGUAAACCUCUUUUGCCGGGGAGCAACGGGGUCCUUGCGAGGGCCCGAUGAGAGUACCCGGAGAAAAAGCAUCGGCUAACUCCGUGCCAGCAGCCGCGGUAAUACGGAGGAUGCGAGCGUUAUCCGGAUUUAUUGGGUUUAAAGGGUGCGUAGGCGGGCUGUUAAGUCAGCGGUCAAAUGUCGGGGCUCAACCCCGGCCUGCCGUUGAAACUGGCGGCCUCGAGUGGGCGAGAAGUAUGCGGAAUGCGUGGUGUAGCGGUGAAAUGCAUAGAUAUCACGCAGAACUCCGAUUGCGAAGGCAGCAUACCGGCGCCCGACUGACGCUGAGGCACGAAAGCGUGGGUAUCGAACAGGAUUAGAUACCCUGGUAGUCCACGCAGUAAACGAUGAAUGCUAGCUGUCCGGUUCUACGGGACUGG